AGGCAGAGCCAAUAAUUUGAGGGGAUAAAACAAAGCUCUGCUAUGUUCAAUCUCCUAAUUGUCUGAAUAUGUUUCUUUUUUUCCACAGAGAUUAAACAAAUAAGAUCCCUCUGCCCCACUGAAACAGGAGUUACCAACUUUUUGAAGAGGCUUGUGAGAUCCAACCCCUCUCCAGCUGAGGACCUGAGACCUAGUGAGGACAAUGACUUCUCAUAUCUACACUGCUAGUAGGAGACAAGCACUGGUUUCAGAAAAAGAGGCGCUUAAGCUUAAGAGAGUUUGAAUGGUAACGUUUAAAUGUCUGCUGCUACGGAAGCAAGAAAAUUCACUCCCUGUGUGGCUGCUGAUUCUGAGAAGUGUUCUGUUUAAGUCCAGCCCAUCUUCUCUCCACCAUUCCACACACACACAGCCACAUCAUCCCUGCUUCACCCGGCAUACCAGGAGGAGGCAGGAAGGACUUUGGAAAACUUUUAUACUGAAUGCAGAACUUGGUACUCCAGAUCAAACUGCAGAAGUAAAUGAUAAUCCUUCCCCUUCAAGGCCCUCACAAUUGAGUAAGAGUUCAAAGAAAAAUUUACUGCACAGUCCCCAGAGCACCAUCACUUCUAAGACUGUGACCUGCUUACAGAUCCACUCCUCUGCCCCCACAGUCCACAUGUCCACCCUGGGGGCCAUGGCUUAUUGAUUCUUCCAUGUAUCAGCCCAAGAAUCCCCUGCUGCCUUCUGAAUAAAGGGUGCAAAUACACGAAG
Long non-coding RNA from Homo sapiens (human), 750 nucleotides. Ensembl annotates it as USP12 antisense RNA 1. Its record names the gene USP12-AS1. NCBI's taxonomy places the organism in Eukaryota, Metazoa, Chordata, Mammalia, Primates, Hominidae. The record is from Ensembl.